Molecule: long non-coding RNA, 633 nt
Organism: Rhipicephalus microplus (southern cattle tick)
Lineage: Eukaryota; Metazoa; Arthropoda; Arachnida; Ixodida; Ixodidae
Source: RefSeq, a predicted model, not a curated record
AAUCGUCGGUUUACAGCCAGCCAACUCGCUACCGUCGCCGGCCUUUUGUUGGACUUUGCUAUGCCUUUAUAUGCCUUUAUUGCGUGUUGUUAUGGUGGCUAGAGUGGUGUGGUGAUUGGCGAUAGCCAACUGAAAUGGAGUCGCCCUCCUUUGAAGACGUCCGUGGAUAUCAGCAUGUUCAGUUUCAGGGGAUUCGACGCAGUGCGCCUAACUCAGGCAGUCUCUACAAUGGGCUUCCAGCACGUGGAUUUUGCCGUCGUUUAUGUUGGUGGCAACGACCUUAGCCACGCUAACGCGGUGCCUCAGAAGGUAUGCGACAAUAUCAGGACGUAAGUUUUACAGCUCCUACACGAAGUGGCCCCGGCGGUGUAUGUGUUCAAGGUGCUCCCGCGUUGUUACAGCCAUGAGGACACCGAUGCGCAACGCGAGGCACGAAAAACGCGCUUGCUUAACCGUAAGAUGACGGCUACGCUGAAGCGCCUGCCAUGUGUUCGCAUUUUGAACGCCGAGCCGAAGAUGCCGCCCGGCUCCAAGUACUUCGUGCAGUCACCUGAGCAAUCGCCAUCAUCGUCGACUAAGGGUAGGACGGGACGGGGGAUAAUCUUUUUUCCCUGCUCUGCCCAAAAGAAACAG